CGCUACCCGACCGCUAUUUAAAUCCCUGGCCAACCGUCCGACGAACGUAAACUUUCCCUAAGGAUUCUUAUUGAGAUAAGGAGAUUUUAAGCUUUCAGUGGCAUCCGGAAGAACAUGGAUGAACCUGGUGGACAACAUCACACCGGCAACGAAAGCUUUGAUUAAGAAAUUUAUCUGGACGUAAAGCCUCGAUGACUUUCCCGAGCAGAGGGAAGCAAACACCGAUGGCUCCCGCAACGAGGAUGGAGGUUAUAACAUCUAUCUUAUAUUUAAGCGCUAGAGACUUAUUGCGAUAUAUUCAUCUUCUGGUUCACAGGUACAUUCCCCUUGUACUAGGGAAGGAAUCAGGAUUAAAAAGCAGCAAAAAAAAAAAAGUCAAAACCGGAGGUUGUUUGAAGUUGAUCAUAGCUGCAACUGAAAAUAGAGCCCAACCCAAUUGAGAGACUCAGUGAAAAGUUUCAAAGUUUGAAUAUUGAAGAUGGGAGAGGGAGUGAAUAUAUAUAUAUAAAUAUAUAUGACAAGUGGAGAUGAUAGAGAUUGUUUAGAGAUGGAAGCCAUAAAGAUGUGAUACAAGUGAAGGGAAAGAAAACAUGAAAUCCGAAAUCAUUAACGGCACAGCAUGUUUGGUUCAUGUACACUUUUGGUUCAUUGAAAUAAAUAAUUUAAUAUGAUCAUUAUUAACUAUAAUUUAAUAAAAAAUAAUAAUUUAAUUAUAUUUUAACACAAUUAUUAUUAAAUAUAAUUUAAUAACAUUCUUAAUAUAAUUAUUUUUAUAUUAAAAUAUUUUAUUUUAAAUUAUAUUUUGAAAUAAAAUAUUUUAUAUUGAGUUAAUUUAAUAUUAAAUUAUAUUCAAAUAUUUUAUUUUUACAUUUUUUGAAUCUAAAAUUUAAAAGAUUAAUCUCGAAAUUAAUUUUAUUUUGUUAUUUAAGGUUGGAUACCAAAAAAUAACUAUUACGAGAAAUUAAAAAAUAAAGAAAGAAUAAAUAUUUCACCCAUUCAAUAAAUAAGAGGAACGUACAUUCACUCCAACCAAUUUGGUUUGGCUACAUAAAAAUCUGAUUUGGAAAAGUCAACUAAAGAAAUAAAUAUAUAUGCAAUAUUGCAACUAAAAACUAAUAUAUAUAUAUAAAGAAAUGGUGCUAUUUUAUAUAUGUUUUUAUUAUGGGGUUUCUCUAGUAAGGAAAGGAAGGUGAUGAAAAUGAUAUUAGGCCCCUUUUAUGUUCUUGAACACAACCGUAACGUAAUCCUAAACUAUUCUAGUUUGAUUUCCUACAUCUCUUUUAAUUUGAAUGGGUAUUUGUAAUCAUGCAUCCAAAAUUCCUGGAUGUUCAAAAUUUCAUAAUAUCUAUCAAAAUAUAUACACUAUUAAUACCUGAAAAUUUAGACAUAGAAAAUAGAUUUGCAUGAGAGUCACAUUUGUAAGCUAAAAUCCAAACCAAAAUAACAAGAAUAUAGAAUAGAAAUAAAGAGAUUAUCUUGAUAUGAAGCUCUUCAUUAAGAGGCUUCUGAAUGCUACAGCUGAGAACAAGGGGCAUGCUAAUAAACAAUCAAAUUCAGUACAAGAAUUGCAUGAACCAACUAAAACCAAACCUUAUUUGCAUUGCAUUGCAUCAAUUAACUAAUUUCAUUUCUUUCAAUUCAUACGAGUGUUUUAAAAUCCAUUUUAAGAGAUAAAUUUACUAUAUCUCCGCUUUGCAAAAAAAUGACUAGGUUAACCGUAAAAAAUAGAUGAGAUAAAAUCGAACCCAAUCUUGAGAGACAAUUUAGAUUUCACUUGCUAGUAUCAAUUUCUGCACGAAUAAUAUAACCUAACAAUUUCAUACAAAGAACAAAGAGAUAGGGCGAUAGUGGAUAACCAUGUCUGAUCCCUCUAACUGGCUUAAACUUCUGAGUGGAAACACCAUUUCAUAGGAUCUGCAUAGAAAAAGAAGAAGAUAUGGCUACCAUGAUCAUAGUUCUAAGGAACUCGGGAAUCCCGACAGCUAGCAGAGACACAGCAAUGGUGGAGGAGUUUGUGAGCCACCCUACCACCCUGUUGAAACAUUUCCAUGUGCAUUCUUUUUUUCUUGCCACUCAAAAGUGUGUUGAGCAAUAAUAGAAAUAACUUGCAAUAGUUCAACUUUGAAUUUUCCUAUUAGCUUACGAUAUCUGUUACAUGUGCAAGUUGAAUUAAUCCACUAGCUCCAUGUACUAUUUUUAAUAAUAAAAAAAAGUGUGCAACUAGUUAUAAGUUGAUCAUGAUGAAGAUGGUGGUGUGUUUAGAGUUAUAAGUUGAAUGACUUGAAUGUGGAAGCAAUAGUGUAACAAAAGCGUUUUGAUCAUAAUUUGCAAGCCUGUCUUUCACUUGUACUUUCUAAUUUCGACUCUGUAUGUAUGUAGAAAAAAACAAACAUGGGUAAGAAAACACUUAUCUUCAGUGCUGUCUUUUCUAUGCUUUACAACAUAUAAUUGCAUAUGUUGAAAUUCCAAACUCAAACUGGGUGGAUACUCGUCUUUAAAAGAAAAAAACAAGACACAGUUACGAUUGAGGCCGAUGAUUAAGCGAUUUCAACAUCUCUUGCUAGCAAUACAAAGCCAACAAGUGGAGUUGGAGCAUAUUUGGACUGUUACUAAAGCAUCAAUGAUAAAUAUUACUUGCCACAAAUAAUAAAAUCAACAUGAUAUGAAUGAUAUAAUGAUACCAAUUCGUUAAUAUUUUAGAGUUUAUAUAAAUAAAUGAGCACUAUAAAUAUACUUAUUAAAUAAAAAUACAUAGGUACACGAAUUCUUAAAUGAAAUAAACUUAGAUUUUGUUUGAAAUAAAAUGAAUUAUUUAAAUGUAAACUAAAAUAUCUUAUAUUUAUCAAAUAAUUUAAUUAUAUUUCGUAACUAUCUUAAAUUUUCAUCAUAUUUUUCGAAUAAUUAUUCUUUUUAAUUUAUUAAACAAUAUCUAACUUUUUCAAAUAAUUUAAUUUUACUCUUAGAUGCUCAUGUUUUGCUGCAUUUUCUUUCCCGAAAAAACUAAACAAUUGGAACUAUUUUUACACGAGUAAAAAUAAAAUCGCACCUUUUAAUCUACAAGUUUCACAUUUAUAUUCAGGGAAUAUAUUAUAUUAAGAUCAUCUUAAAAAAUAUAGUUUUUAGGCGCUAAAAAAAUAAUGCCAUGUUAUUAAAUUUUAAAGAUAAAAUAUUAUUAUACAAUCAUAUGUAUCUAAUGUCUUCUCUAACUUAAUUUAACUUUAAUUAAAUUAUUUAAAAUAAUUAAUUUUUUAAAUUAUAAACAAAUCUUUUCUUCUUUUACAAAUUUUAAUCAUUUUAUUUUUUUCCAUAAGUUGAUAUUUUUUAUUUUUGUGCAAUUUUUUUCAUGUCAUUGACACAUAAUUUAGGCAAUUGUUUUACCUUGAACCUUAAACAUUAAAUCCCGAGAUUUAGGGUUUGGAUUUGAGCUUAAACCUUAAACAUUAAACCCUGAGAUUUAGGGUUUGGAUUUGAGAUUUAAGGAUUAAGGUUUAAGAUUUAGGAUUUAGGGCUCAUGAAUUUGGAGUUUAGGGUUCAAGUUUAUGGUUUAAGAGUUUAGGGUUUGAGUUCAAGGUUCAAGGGUUUUGGAUUAUGAGUUCGACGUUUAGGUUUAGGGUUUUAUAUUUUUGAUUCAAGGUUCGAGAUUAUCAAAAUCAAGUGUCAAUGACAUGAAAAAAAUUGGUUAAAUGUAAUUAAAUAAUUAGAAAUGGACCAUAAAUAAUGGGGUGAGAAGGGUCCAUAAAAUAAUUUCUCUAUAGAUGAAUGUAUAAUAAUAAUUUCAUGCUUUUAAAAUUUGAUGAUAUGGAAAAAUUUUAUUAGUGCCUAAAAACCUUAAUUUUUAGGAUCAUCCUUAUGUAAGUUAUUCCCUUAUAUUUAUUGUUUAGAUAGAAAAUAUAUAUUAUUUAAUGAUUUAUAUAUACACAUCUGUAUAUAUAUUUAUUUUUUCAUAUAAUCCUUACUUUUACUUAUAACCCUCAAUUCUCAUAUUGAAGGAAUACAUGUUUAAAUAUAUUUAAAUUCGCAUUCUCUUUAUUGUUAUUGAUAAAGUCAAGAAGAUAGAUAAAGUCUUUACCCCUUAAUUAAAUGAAAACUUUUUUAUUUAACUCCUCUCUAAAUAUAAAAAAAAUAAUAUGUAAUUUUAACAUUUUAACACAAAAAUAAUAACUUUUAACCCUUCCAAAAUUGUAUAAUUUUAUCUGUCCUCGUAAAUAAAAUUUCUAAAUUCAUUUUUGCAAUAAUAAAAAAUUAUUAACAAAAAUAAUUGGAGAACAAGCCAUCAUCCAUUUCAGGAAUUUGCAUCUCUGCAUCUGUCUACUUUCUCAGGUUUUCAAACUUGUCUUUCUCUGCUCUCCUCCACCUUUCAUUUCACUAUAAUUUAUAAUUUUUUACAAUAGUUUUCAAUGAAAUUCCAAUUUUUCUUUUUUAAAUAAACAAUGAAAUUGCGCUGACAAACUCAGAGACGCCACUUUUUGACAUUGUACACUGCACACUGCUCAUGGAUCCUCAGAAAUAAGAGGAAAGCCAUCAAUGCUUUUAAAGGGUUACAGUUACAAGUUUAUAACACUCCACAAGCACUACCCAUCUUCAUGAUUUUUAAGAGAGACCUAUACGAAAGAAAAGUGGACUGGAAAUGAAUGGUUUGACAGUUACCUGUUUUCCCUUCCCGGACCAGAAUGAAUGUUAAUUCCGUCUGAAAACACACUUACAAAAAUGGGAUUGGCAUUAGAUUGGGGAUUCCUUAUCCUAAAUUUUAGACACAAAACAUGGGCUUAGCAAAUUAGCAUCCACUCUCGUACAACUUGUCUAAGGUCCCUUGGACUUUCACAUGCUCCCAAAUAUCUCUGUUCUUUCUAAAGUUUAUCUCCCGACUUAUCUAUUUGGAAACUGAAUCCCACAAACUCAACAUAUUUUACUUUAAAUUUAAAUGCUUUUAAGGUUUAAUAUAUCAUUUACUACUUUUAAGUUUGACAUCUUUUUCUAAUAUCGUAUUUGUUUCAUUUUUUUUGGUUUAAUAUGAUAUUUAUAUUUGAUAAAUAUUAUAUAUUUUUGUAUUCAAAGGUAUUCGUGUUAAUGUUUUAGUGUUUAGUUCAGAUUUUAAGGUUGAUUUUGAUGAAAAUUAAUUGCCAACAUUAUUAGGUUUGAAUUUUUCAUCAUUUUUAUUAAUAGAAUAAAUUUAGUGUUAAUUGUAAAUUCGUUUAAUUUUACAUUUAUUUUGUCAAAUAAUAGUCCGGUCAAUGUAAUUUAAUUCGGGUUUUAUGCUUGAUUUGAUAAAAGUUAAUUGUUAAUAUUGUUAGCUAAUAAUGAUUUUUUAUCAAAUCAACUCUAGAACUUGAAUUAACUACUAAAAAAUUAACAUUGUUACUUUUAAAUAUCAAAAUGUAUAAAUUUUAUCAAAUACAAGUACUACAUUAAAAAAAAAGUUAAGUCACUUAUAGGUGCUAAUCUUAAAUUUAAUUUCAAGUGGGAGUACAUGUGGAAUUGAAUGUAUAACCCAAUCUACGGGGCAAUUUGAUUAAAGAGAUUUUUAAUAGGGAUAAAUUUUAAAAUUACUCAUAAAUUUUAAUUUAAUGUGCAAUUGUAUAUAUAAAUUUUAAUUUGGUGUAAUUAUAAACGUGAAAUUCUAAUUAUGGUUCAAUUAUAUACUUGAAACUUUAAUUUUGGUUUAAUCAUUAUACAUUUUAAAAAAAUAAAUAUAUCAAUUUAUUUUUAUAUUAGAUAAAUAUAAUUAAUAAAAUGAUGUUAUAACAAUAAUUGUGUUAAUAAUUUAUCGGAAUUGAAUCAAAUCAAAAUUUUAUGAAAAAAAUUGUAUAAAAUCAAAAUUUAUAUAUACAAUUAUAUAUUAAACCAUAAUUCAUACAUAGUUUUGAAAUUUAUCCCGACUAACUAAUUACAAAUAUAUAUAUUUUUAAUAUGAAAGGAUACCUGAAUUUCUUUAUAAGGAUUUAAAACCAUAAUUUUCCCUUUUUUUUAAUGUAUGAAACCGAUGAAAAAGAGGCUGAAAGGCUUUCGUCUUCUCCACGACUAGCUUAAAUAGGGAAUUCCUAUUAUUAAUGAUAUAUAGAUGCUAUUUCUUUUUAUUUUACUAUAAAUUCAAAUGUUGACUUUCAUAAUUUAUUUUAUGUAAAUAAUAAAUAAAAUAAUUAUUUAUUAUGACACUCAUAUAAUAAAUAUUAAGGUCCCACCUGAUGUGGCGUAGAGCUAGGACGUGUCUGACAGUUAUUUAUUCUUUAGUAAAUAUAUUAUUAUAAGGAUAUUUAUUUUCUAUAAAAUUACCAAAAAUUUAUUAUUUUAAAGUAAAAAAAAAUAUUAUUAUAAGGGUGUUUAUUUAUUUUUAUAUUAUUAUACAAAAUUUAAAAAAUUAGAGGCAACAUAGAUUAAACUUAAAACAAUAUGAUUUAAUAUUUUAACUAAAGCCUCACUCCUUUUUUUACUUUAUUCAAUUAUUUUAUAAAUAUUUUUAUUAUAUAAAUUUUUUUCACUCACAUCGUUAACGUAUAAUAAUUUAGUAAUUAAAGAAAAAUAAUGUAAAUUUUUUUGGUAAAAUGAAAAUUCAGACUUACACUAAUCUUAAAGAAGGUGAUCAUCGGCUAAUAGAUCACAACUUGAGUUUUAUACAAAAAAUAUCUAACUUUAAACUUAACAAAAAGAUAUUCGUCAUUCACCUACUAAUUUUGUUUAUUAACAAUAACAUGUGGACUAAAGUGAAAAAAAGAUUGUGUUGAAAUCUUUUCAACUAAUUUUAAUUACUCCCAAAUAAUCAGAUAACUUUUUUAAAAUUACAAUAUUAUUAUACAAAGAAGAAUGAAGGUUGAGAUAAAUAAAAAGAAGAAACUAAAAUUGGAUUGGGUAUUAACUUGAUGGAUGAAUCUAAAUAUGAUCAUGGAAAUGUACCAAGUUUCUAACUGUAUAAGGCAGCAGAAUUUUUUAUUUGGAUUUUAGAAAUUGACAUUCUUAUAAUUUUCUGUGCGGAGACUUUUAGUUAACGAGGACAUAGAAAAUUACAUCAUGCCUCUUGGGAUGCCCCAACUCGCCCUAACAAACACGUUUCAAAAUUCCUGGUAUUUGGUUAGUGCAUACGAAGCUAAUAUUGCAAUUAAAAAUAGAAAAGCUUGUGAUUCUAUUAACAUACAUAUAAACUUCUUGCUUUCAUAUACUCAAACUUUUUAAUCAAUACUAUGUUUUUAUGUAAAAGCAACCAAAAAAAAACCCCCCGAAUUUAAGCCCAAAUAGCCAAGAGAGACAUAAGACCAGCCCCAAGGAGAAGAGAAACACUGGCUCCAACUUGAAGUAUUCCAUUGCUUUGUAACUUUGGGUUCAUGAAAUCAGCGGCUAGAAGAUCCACCAACGCCAUGUAUAUUAAGAUCCCAGAUGAUGCCGCGUUCAAUAACCCUUCCACAAUCAGUGCCGUUGGGCUGUUCUCAUCGUAUGCAUUUGUUAUUGCUAUUCCUAUAGCGAUUCCUACUGGUGUUGUCAGCGAGAAAAACAGUGACAUGAUUGCAACCGAUCGACCCUUGAAUUUAGCCUUUAAAAAACCAUUCAAUGCUAAUGAAUACAACAAACUCCUGACGAAGAGUAGGUCUUAAGCAUGGGUUUGAAUUUACCUGAGAAAUGCAUCCACCAAGUCCCAUGCCUUCGAAGAACUGAUGAAAGGUGAGUGCUGCCACCAAAGGUUUUAUAGUCUUUGGACUUUCUGAAGCACCCAAUGAUAUCCCUAUGAUCACAGAGUGCACCACUAUGCCCAAUUCCAAUACCUUUGAACAUCAAUCAGACAAACAGUUACAGAAAAUAUAGAAAAAAAUAACAAAAACCAAAAUCACGAUUGAUGAAAUAAAAUUUACCUGAGAGACUACUCGAUGCCGAAGGAGCUGAGCUGAAUCUGCACGCUCAAGCAUAGAAACAGAACCAUGAGAAUGGCCAUGGGUGGCAUGAGUAUGAACAUGCAGAUGAUUUUCGGUUUGCUCUGUUUUCUCUUCAUCACCCUCGUGGUUCUGUUGGGUUUUGUGAAGGUGAGAUUUGGUGUAAUGAGAUGUAGCAAACACAUCAACCAUCAAUGUGCCAAUGGCCGCCGUCAUAGCCAACAGUCCGGCGAACGGAAACUUUCCCCAAGGAUUCUCAUUGAGGCAAGGAGAUGUUAAGCUUUCAGUGGCAUCCGGAAGAACAUGGAUGAAGCCGGUGGACAAGAUCACACCGGCGGCGAAAGCUUUGAUUAAGAAAAAAAGAUUUUUAUCGGGACGUAAAGCCUCGAUGACUUUCCCUAGCAGAGGGAAGCAAACACCGAUGGCUCCCGCAACGAGGAUGGAGGCUAUGGCAGCUAUCUUAUAUUUAAGCGCUAGAGACUUAUUGCGAUCUUCAUCUUCUGGUUCACAGGUACAUUCCCCUUGUACUAGGGAAGGAAUCAGGAUUAAAAAGCAGCAAAAAAAGGUCAUAAGCUGAGGUUGUUUGAAGUUGAUCAUGGCUGCAGCUGAAAACAGAGCCCAACUCAAUUCAGAAGCUCAGUGAAGAGUUUCAAAAUUUG
This 8512-nucleotide long non-coding RNA is filed under the name Gossypium barbadense (sea-island cotton). RNAcentral describes it as "long non-coding RNA (GBAR_LNC010119)". The record is from RNAcentral. Lineage: Eukaryota; Viridiplantae; Streptophyta; Magnoliopsida; Malvales; Malvaceae.